This 460-nucleotide ribosomal RNA is filed under the name uncultured bacterium. Its description in RNAcentral is "partial 16S ribosomal RNA". It matches the Rfam family "Bacterial small subunit ribosomal RNA", at positions 338 to 795 of the family's 1533-position model. The record is from RNAcentral.
CCUACGGGAGGCAGCAGUGAGGAAUAUUGGUCAAUGGACGCAAGCCUGAACCAGCCACGCCGCGUGCAGGAAGACGGCUCUAUGAGUUGUAAACUGCUUUUGUACGAGGGUAAAUCCCGAUACGUGUAUCGGGUUGAAAGUAUCGUACGAAUAAGGAUCGGCUAACUCCGUGCCAGCAGCCGCGGUAAUACGGAGGAUUCAAGCGUUAUCCGGAUUUAUUGGGUUUAAAGGGUGCGUAGGCGGUUCGAUAAGUUAGAGGUGAACUCCCGGGGCUCAACUCCGGCACUGCCUCUGAUACUGUCGGGCUAGAGUUUAGUUGCGGUAGGCGGAAUGUAUGGUGUAGCGGUGAAAUGCAUAGAGAUCAUACAGAACACCGAUUGCGAAGGCAGCUUACCAAACUACGACUGACGUUGAGGCACGAAAGCGUGGGGAGCAAACAGGAUUAGAUACCCGUGUAGUC